RNAcentral lists this transfer RNA (72 nucleotides) under Candidatus Moraniibacteriota bacterium. RNAcentral describes it as "tRNA-Ile". It matches the Rfam family "tRNA". From Rfam's summary of the family: Transfer RNA (tRNA) molecules are approximately 80 nucleotides in length. Their secondary structure includes four short double-helical elements and three loops (D, anti-codon, and T loops). Further hydrogen bonds mediate the characteristic L-shaped molecular structure. tRNAs have two regions of fundamental functional importance: the anti-codon, which is responsible for specific mRNA codon recognition, and the 3' end, to which the tRNAs corresponding amino acid is attached (by aminoacyl-tRNA synthetases). tRNAs cope with the degeneracy of the genetic code in two manners: having more than one tRNA (with a specific anti-codon) for a particular amino acid; and 'wobble' base-pairing, i.e. permitting non-standard base-pairing at the 3rd anti-codon position. Lineage: Bacteria; Candidatus Moraniibacteriota. The record is from RNAcentral.
GGGUCCAUAGCUCAGUGGUAGAGCACUCGGCUCAUAACCGAUAGGUCGCAGGUUCGAUCCCUGCUGGACCCA